This 448-nucleotide small RNA is filed under the name Pongo abelii (Sumatran orangutan). RNAcentral describes it as "retained intron". The record is from RNAcentral. Lineage: Eukaryota; Metazoa; Chordata; Mammalia; Primates; Hominidae.
CCUCCCAUCCCCCCUGCUGUCCACCUUCAAAACACCAGGGCCCCCCCUUAUUCUUGCCUCACCCACACAGGGUCUCUACUCAUGGACGUGCUGCAGUUAGCAGAAGAGCCGGAGCCACAGGCUGGGCAGGAGCUGAGGGUGUGGCCUCCAGGGGCCCAGGAGCCCUGUACCGUGAGGCCAGCCCAGGUGGAGCCACUACUGCGGCUCUGCCUCCAGCAGGGACAGCUGUGUGAGCCGCUCCCAUCCCUGGCAGAGUCUAGAGCCUUGGCCCAGCUGUCCCUGAGCCAACUCAGCCCUGAGCACAGGCGGCUGCGGAGCCCUGCACAGUACCAGGUGGUGCUGUCCGAGAGGCUGCAGGCCCUGGUGAACAGUCUGCGUGCAGGGCCGUCCCCCUGAGACUCGGAGUGGGGCUGCCUGGAAAUAACACGAAUCACUCACUUUUCCCCAC